RNAcentral lists this transfer RNA (94 nucleotides) under Athalia rosae (coleseed sawfly). Its description in RNAcentral is "misc RNA ENSAEAG00005012695.1". It matches the Rfam family "tRNA". Rfam says of the family: Transfer RNA (tRNA) molecules are approximately 80 nucleotides in length. Their secondary structure includes four short double-helical elements and three loops (D, anti-codon, and T loops). The record is from RNAcentral. Lineage: Eukaryota; Metazoa; Arthropoda; Insecta; Hymenoptera; Athaliidae.
CCUUCGAUAGCUCAGUUGGUAGAGCGGUGGACUGUAGUCGGUUACGAAGUAUGAAGAUAUCCAUAGGUCGCUGGUUCAAAUCCGGCUCGAAGGA